CCCAGACUCCUACGGGAGGCAGCAGUGGGGGAUAUUGCACAAUGGGGGGAACCCUGAUGCAGCGACGCCGCGUGGGUGAAGGAGCGUUUCGGCGCGUAAAGCCCUAUCGGCAGGGAAGAAGGAGGACGGUACCUGACUAAGAAGCCCCGGCUAACUACGUGCCAGCAGCCGCGGUAAUACGUAGGGGGCAAGCGUUAUCCGGAUUUACUGGGUGUAAAGGGGGCGCAGACGGCAGCGCAAGCCAGGAGUGAAAGCCCGGGGCCCAACCCCGGGACUGCUCUUGGAACUGCGCGGCUGGAGUGCAGGAGGGGCAGGCGGAAUUCCUGGUGUAGCGGUGAAAUGCGUAGAUAUCAGGAGGAACACCGGUGGCGAAGGCGGCCUGCUGGACUGCGACUGACGUUGAGGCCCGAAAGCGUGGGGAGCAAACAGGAUUAGAUACCCGAGUAGGA
This 449-nucleotide ribosomal RNA is filed under the name uncultured bacterium. Its description in RNAcentral is "partial 16S ribosomal RNA". It matches the Rfam family "Bacterial small subunit ribosomal RNA", at positions 330 to 795 of the family's 1533-position model. The record is from RNAcentral.